RNAcentral lists this long non-coding RNA (940 nucleotides) under Marmota monax (woodchuck). The record is from RNAcentral. Lineage: Eukaryota; Metazoa; Chordata; Mammalia; Rodentia; Sciuridae.
UCUCUUUCCAGGACAGAUGGACCGUCUUUCUAACAGUAGUAGUUGGACUCUCUCUUGCCUCCUCACUCACUGCCUCUGGACUGGGGACAGGAGGACUUGGUUAUGCAGUAACCACUACUCAGAAGCUUGAACAACAACUUCGGGAAGUGGUAGAGGCAUUGGCCAACCCUAACUUCCCUACAAAGGCAAAUCACAUCUAUUGUUCAAGUUUCAUUACAGAAUCUUCGAGCCCUGGGUCUUCUGAUGGCAGACAAAGGAGAAACUUGUUUAUUCCUGAAAGCAGAAUGCUGCUAUUAUAUCAGUGAAACUGGAUUGAUCAAAAAGAAUGUCAACACCCUCCUUUCAUUUGGGUGAAAGGCUUAAACAGCAACAAUCAAAUGACCCUUGACCCUUGUCCAGGCUGGCUAAACUCAACCCUCAUUACAAUGGCUGACUCCCAUUCUCACUCCUAUAUUAGUAAUAGGACUUCUAUUAAUGAUUGCUCCCUGCCUCCUCAGGUUUGCCCAAAAGCACAUGGGUGAAAUUGCCAGAGUGACCUACAACCUGAUGCCCCUACACCCCUACGGUCGCCUCUCUACCGAGCCAACACCUGAACCGUCCCCUUCCCCCACUGCCCCUAGCCAGCAGGAAGUAUCCAGAUGUAUGUCACCGCCAUAUAUCAUCAAAAAGGCCAGGAUGUUAGGUCGGUUUGAGGUCAUUAAGAAACCGGAAUGCACGAAAGAACCACCAAUCAAACACUGACAGAACCACUUGCCAAUAAGCGGGGUUUCCAGAUCAAUCCUGGAUCUUAGCAAGCUCCCCCAGCCAACCCCACCAGGACAAGAGACCCCAGUAGGACAAGAGACCCCCUUUUCUGUCCCAAGCCCUCCCUUCCUGCCCUAAGCCCAAUAAGAAUUUCAGUCUGGUCCGGCCCCCCUCACUUCUCCUCGGACCUGCCCAG